RNAcentral lists this ribosomal RNA (615 nucleotides) under uncultured bacterium. RNAcentral describes it as "bacterial SSU rRNA". It matches the Rfam family "Bacterial small subunit ribosomal RNA", at positions 8 to 612 of the family's 1533-position model. The record is from RNAcentral.
AGAGUUUGAUCCUGGUCCAAAUUGUUUCCUGGCGGCAUGCUUAACACAUGCAAGUCGAACGGAAACGACAAGAGCUUGCUCUUGGGCGUCGAGUGGCGGACGGGUGAGUAACGCGUGGGAACAUGCCUAUUAGUUGGGGACAACCUGUGGAAACGCAGGCUAAUACCGAAUAAGCACUAUGGUGUAAAGGUGGCCUCUCCUUGGAAGCUAUCGCUGAUAGAUUGGCCCGCGUUGGAUUAGCUAGUUGGUGGGGUAAAGGCCCACCAAGGCGACGAUCCAUAGCUGGUUUGAGAGGAUGAUCAGCCACACUGGGACUGAGACACGGCCCAGACUCCUACGGGAGGCAGCAGUGGGGAAUAUUGGACAAUGGGGGCAACCCUGAUCCAGCAAUGCCGCGUGUGUGAAGAAGGCCUGAGGGUUGUAAAGCACUUUCAAUCGUGAAGAAGGGUGUGUAGUUAAUAACUGCAUACAUUGACGUUAACGAUAGAAGAAGCACCGGCUAACUCUGUGCCAGCAGCCGCGGUAAUACAGAGGGUGCAAGCGUUAAUCGGAAUUACUGGGCGUAAAGCGCGCGUAGGUGGUUUGAUAAGUUAGAUGUGAGAGCCCCGGGCUCAA